AAAGAAUUAGUUUAUACAAAACAUUAGUCUUCAAAACUAAAAAUAUUAAAGUCUUAGUAUUCUUUG
Molecule: transfer RNA, 66 nt
Filed under: Brachionus plicatilis
Lineage: Eukaryota; Metazoa; Rotifera; Eurotatoria; Ploima; Brachionidae
Description: tRNA-Trp
Source: RNAcentral